UUCCUACCUAAGCUAAUAGCCCUAGCGGCUAU
RNAcentral lists this small RNA (32 nucleotides) under Bombyx mori (domestic silkworm). RNAcentral describes it as "ovarian small RNA-9605". The record is from RNAcentral. Lineage: Eukaryota; Metazoa; Arthropoda; Insecta; Lepidoptera; Bombycidae.